Molecule: ribosomal RNA, 637 nt
Filed under: uncultured Bacteroidales bacterium
Lineage: Bacteria; Pseudomonadati; Bacteroidota; Bacteroidia; Bacteroidales
Description: bacterial SSU rRNA
Rfam family: Bacterial small subunit ribosomal RNA
Source: RNAcentral
UACUUUGGUGGCGACCGGCGCACGGGUGCGUAACGCGUAUGUAACCUACCUAUAACAGGGGCAUAACACUGAGAAAUUGGUACUAAUUCCCCAUAAUAUUCGGAGAGGCAUCUCUCCGGGUUGAAAACUCCGGUGGUUAUAGAUGGACAUGCGUUGUAUUAGCUAGUUGGUGAGGUAACGGCUCACCAAGGCAACGAUACAUAGGGGGACUGAGAGGUUAACCCCCCACACUGGUACUGAGACACGGACCAGACUCCUACGGGAGGCAGCAGUGAGGAAUAUUGGUCAAUGGACGCAAGUCUGAACCAGCCAUGCCGCGUGCAGGAAGACGGCUCUAUGAGUUGUAAACUGCUUUUGUACGAGGGUAAACUCACCUACGUGUAGGUGACUGAAAGUAUCGUACGAAUAAGGAUCGGCUAACUCCGUGCCAGCAGCCGCGGUAAUACGGAGGAUUCAAGCGUUAUCCGGAUUUAUUGGGUUUAAAGGGUGCGUAGGCGGUUUGAUAAGUUAGAGGUGAAAUCCCGGGGCUUAACUCCGGAACUGCCUCUAAUACUGUUAGACUAGAGAGUAGUUGCGGUAGGCGGAAUGUAUGGUGUAGCGGUGAAAUGCUUAGAGAUCAUACAGAACACCGAUUGCG